Molecule: ribosomal RNA, 330 nt
Filed under: uncultured bacterium
Lineage: Bacteria
Description: bacterial SSU rRNA
Rfam family: Bacterial small subunit ribosomal RNA
Source: RNAcentral
GCAGCGGAUCCGCAUGGAUAUGUUGUUAAAGGUUUACCGCCUUGGGAUAGGCUUGCGUCUGAUUAGCUAGUUGGUGUGGUAACGGCACACCAAGGCUACGGUCAGUAACUGGUCUGAGAGGAUGAUCAGUCACACUGGAACUGAGACACGGUCCAGACUCCUACGGGAGGCAGCAGUGAGGAAUAUUGGGCAAUGCUCGAAAGAGUGACCCAGCAACGCCGCGUGGAGGAUGAAGGUAUUCUAUAUCGUAAACUCCUGUGAGAGCAGACGAAAGACAGAUUAUUAAUCUGGAUGACUGUAUGCUCAGAGGAAGCCCCGGCUAACUACGUG